This 313-nucleotide long non-coding RNA is filed under the name Malus domestica (apple). RNAcentral's name for it is "long non-coding RNA (MDOM_LNC018172)". Lineage: Eukaryota; Viridiplantae; Streptophyta; Magnoliopsida; Rosales; Rosaceae. The record is from RNAcentral.
CUUGUGAACUAGUAAGUGGUGGCUUUAAUUAAGUAUGUGCUUGUGUAAAGAUGACUCAAAUCUGUGGGGAUAACAAUCUUUAACAUGUCAUGUGCAUUGGAAAUCCCUGAGGCAAACGUUGGAAGGUUUAGGUUUUGUUUUGGUUAGUUUGUUUCGUUUUGUUUCCUUUCUUUUGUUUGUUUUGCUCGAGGACUAGCAAAAGCUAAGUGUGGGGGAAUUUGAUAGGAGCAUAUUUAUGCACCUUAGUUAGCUAGUUCUUAUGCAUUUCCAUGGUGUUUUCUUAGUUAAAGUAGUCUUUUAAGCUAGUUUUAUG